This 465-nucleotide ribosomal RNA is filed under the name uncultured bacterium. RNAcentral describes it as "partial 16S ribosomal RNA". It matches the Rfam family "Bacterial small subunit ribosomal RNA", at positions 28 to 507 of the family's 1533-position model. The record is from RNAcentral.
GACGAACGCUGGCGGCGUGCUUAACACAUGCAAGUCGUACGGUAAGGCCCUUUCGGGGGUACACGAGUGGCGAACGGGUGAGUAACACGUGAGUAACCUGCCCACAACUUUGGGAUAACGCUAGGAAACUGGUGCUAAUACUGGAUAUGUGCUCCUGCUGCAUGGUGGGGGUUGGAAAGCUCCGGCGGUUGUGGAUGGACUCGCGGCCUAUCAGCUUGUUGGUGGGGUAGUGGCCUACCAAGGCGGCGACGGGUAGCCGGCCUGAGAGGGUGACCGGCCACAUUGGGACUGAGAUACGGCCCAGACUCCUACGGGAGGAAGCAGGGGGGAAGAUUGCACAAUGGGCGCAAGCCUGAUGCAGCAACGCCGCGGGCGGGAUGACGGCCUUCGGGUUGUAAACCGCUUUCAGCAGGGACGAAGCUUUUUGUGACGGUACCUGCAGAAGAAGCACCGGCUAACUACGUG